This 1652-nucleotide long non-coding RNA is filed under the name Cinara cedri. Lineage: Eukaryota; Metazoa; Arthropoda; Insecta; Hemiptera; Aphididae. The record is from RNAcentral.
UCCGCCUCAAAAAUCGAUGAUUUUUUUUUGAUCUCGACUUUACAAACAAAUUUGAAAGGUACACUUGUUAUUAAUAAUAUGUAAUUUUAUAAUUAUAUUUACUUAUAACUUUUCUUCCGUAAAACAAUAAUCAAAUGCCUUCACUUUUAAAAUUAUUUUUUUAAAAAUAGAGAAAAUCUGUAUCUCGAGAAAGUUUUGAGUUAGAAAUAAAAUGGAAUAAGUCAAAUAAGUUGUUUUAAAAAAUAAGAUUAUUCGAAUAGACUCAAAAUGUGUGUUUUAUUACCCACGACCUUUCUGAAGAAAAAAAAACAUUUCAAUCCAAGUCCGUCCGACUAAAAUACGAUUGAAGUGAUACUGUACUAUUGGAAUAUCAAAACGUACUAUGGCAGAACAAUAAUAUAAAUAUACAGAGUUCGGCAAGAAAAAAAAAAUUUACUAAACGAUGAUUAUCCCCUCACCCCUGACGACUUGUUAUAUACACCGUAAAAUGGCAUAAUGGAUAUUAUUUAUAAAUAUAUUCGAUUCGGUGGAUUUUGGUUUCAAUAAAUAUAUAAUUCGUCUUCGUAUUCCAUAUUUAUGUAGGACGAAUUAUAUAUUAUUUUUUUAUUCGACAAACGUAUUUUAUUCGACUUUUUAAUUCCGUUUUUCCGUUUAUACACCUUCUUCUUUGCACCUGCGCAAUUUUCUAUAUUCCUUUGCGUUUAUAAUUUAUUUAUUAUCAUCCGUACGUGGCUUUUUCGAGUCGGUGUUUAUUUUUUUUCUGUUUCUAUAUUAAAUUGCGGUCAGCAAAAUGCUCAAAUAACUACCCACCUCGGCCCCUAAUAUUUAAUAGUACCUAUAGUGUUGGCAUAGAUCAUAGAUAAAUUAAUGGGCCAUUGUAACGGUUAUCACAUUAAGGUCAGUUUUAAGAGAUUUUUAUGUGGUACCUACUACAUUACUUUGUUUCUUCCAUCAUUUGAUUCUAUAGCGAUUAACGGAAACGCAUUCAAGAAAUCGACAUUUGAGACUCGCCCGUCCAACACUCAGAAAUCACUGUCGGUAUAAGAAUAAUCUUUACCUACCAACCAACCCAAUCUAAUAUAAUAUGCUAUUAUCAUUGAUAUCCAUGACGGGUUAUAAAAAAAUAUCCUCUACCUUCCAUACAAAUUACGGAGAUCACAAACCAAACCGAUGUAUUUCUGUAGCGUCCCGUUCAUUUAUCUGCCAUACAUAAGUAGGCGUAGGAGUGUAUGAGGUCAUGGUGGUCGCCAAAAACUUCAAAGUUGAGUCGCCCUCUGUUGGUCGAUUUACUAUUAUUUUUAUUUUAUUUUUUUUUUUUUAAUCCUACAUUUCGUUUGUCGCGCACGCAGGUCGAUCUAAGACAACGUUUGUAUCGGUCGACCGAACCGUCAACGGUCAUCGCAGUCUAAACGGCCGCAUACUCGUAAAACAAAAUAUUAAUAAAACUUGAAAACCAUUAAAAUAAUAAAUAUGUUGAAUUUUUCACACGUCGUGGUAUUCGAUCUCCGGCUCACGUUAAUAUUAUACGCGCAUCCAUUUAAUGUUUUAUUAAAAAUAAAAAUGAAAUAAAGCAAUUUCGCGUCUUAUUGAGCCGAUUUUUUUUUUUUUUUUGUAUUGAUAACGUUUUUCUACGUGGCGAUUACUUUCCGUCG